RNAcentral lists this ribosomal RNA (408 nucleotides) under uncultured bacterium. RNAcentral describes it as "partial 16S ribosomal RNA". It matches the Rfam family "Bacterial small subunit ribosomal RNA", at positions 29 to 526 of the family's 1533-position model. The record is from RNAcentral.
AGUGAACGCUGGCGGCGUGCCUAAUACAUGCAAGUCGAACGGAGUGGCGCACGGGUGAGUAAUAUAUAGCUAACUUGCCCAUUACUAUGGGACAACAGUUGGAAACGACUGCUAAUACCUUAUAGUAAUGGAUAGGGCUAUAUCGUAUCAGCUAGUUGGUAAGGUAACGGCUAACCAAGGCUAUGACGCGUAACUGGUCUGAGAGGAUGAUCAGUCACACUGGAACUGAGACACGGUCCAGGCUCCUGCGGGAGGCAGCAGUAGGGAACAUUGCUCACUGGGGGUGACCCGGAAGCAGCAGCGCCGCGUAGAGGAUGGCAGUUUUCGGAGCGUAAACACCUUGUCUAGGGAAAGCGGUACCCAAGGAAUAAGCACCGGCUAACUCCGUGCCAGCAGCCGCGGUAAUUC